UUUGAAAGCAGGACUUCAGAACA
Molecule: non-coding RNA, 23 nt
Filed under: Cricetulus griseus (Chinese hamster)
Lineage: Eukaryota; Metazoa; Chordata; Mammalia; Rodentia; Cricetidae
Source: RNAcentral